RNAcentral lists this transfer RNA (65 nucleotides) under Cyrtonotula maculosa. RNAcentral's name for it is "tRNA-Ile". The record is from RNAcentral. Lineage: Eukaryota; Metazoa; Arthropoda; Insecta; Blattodea; Blaberidae.
AGUGUUGUGCCUGACUAAAGGAUUAUCGUGAUAGGAUAAAUUAUGUAAUUCAAUUACCAUCACUA